Molecule: ribosomal RNA, 497 nt
Filed under: uncultured bacterium
Lineage: Bacteria
Description: partial 16S ribosomal RNA
Rfam family: Bacterial small subunit ribosomal RNA
Source: RNAcentral
GACGAACGCUGGCGGCGUGCCUAAUACAUGCAAGUAGAACGCUUAAGAGAGGAGCUUGCUCUUCUUGGAUGAGUUGCGAACGGGUGAGUAACGCGUAGGUAACCUGCCUUGUAGCGGGGGAUAACUAUUGGAAACGAUAUCUAAUACCGCAUAACAAUGACUGACACAUGUCAUUUAUUUGAAAGGGGCAAUUGCUCCACUACAAUCUGGACCUGCGUUUUAUUAGCUAGUAGGUUAGGUAAUGGCCCACCUAGGCGACGAUACAUAGCCGGGCCGGUAGGGAGGUCGGCCAAAAUGGGACUGGGACAAGGCCCAGAAUCCUAAGGGAAGGAGCAGGAGGGAAUCUUUGGAAAGGGGGGCAAAGCUGAACGAGGAAAGCCGGGGGGGGGAAGAAGGUUGUCGGAUCGGAAAGCUAGGUUGUAAGGGAAGAACGGGUGUGAGAGUGGAAAGUUCACACUGUGACGGUAGCUAAACAGAAAGGGACGGCUAACUACGUG